UGUGUACUCCCUCCGUUCCAAAAUACUUGACUUCCAUUUGUCCAAAAAUGGAUGUACCUAUAUACUAAAACAUGUCUAGAUACAUAUAUAUUUUGACAAAUAGAAGGCAUGUAUUGUGCAAUAGAGGGAGUAGAAU
Triticum aestivum (bread wheat) is the source of this 136-nucleotide non-coding RNA. NCBI's taxonomy places the organism in Eukaryota, Viridiplantae, Streptophyta, Magnoliopsida, Poales, Poaceae. The record is from Rfam.